Molecule: long non-coding RNA, 1523 nt
Organism: Coregonus clupeaformis (lake whitefish)
Lineage: Eukaryota; Metazoa; Chordata; Actinopteri; Salmoniformes; Salmonidae
Exons: 2
Source: RefSeq, a predicted model, not a curated record
GCCAGAUCUCUGACCUCCUCCCUAUAGGCUGUCUAACUAAGGAAAUGUGAAGAGUGGUCCCUCUCCCGGGAUACCGGUGUUAAUCCCUUCUCCCCACUACUCCUCCUAGCCAACAAACGAGCCAAGAAAACACCAAGAGGUUACGUGGUAGGAAUGUCUGGCCACGACUGUGAGACAGCAGAACAGACCAGCAUGUGAUUCUAUUAAAAAGCGCUUAACCAUAAUGUCUAAAACAGGUGUGCCUGUGAGGAGUCCAGUGCUAAGGCAGUAGUUUCCUAGUGUUAUCAACUAGGCUAGGUCUAAGCUACGAAGUGGUAUAAUAGGGAGGGAGCCAUUUUUUGUCUGAAGUCGUACAUAUGAAAAAGGAGGAAGAAACAUGUGUGUAGCUGCUACAGCAUUACUAGCUAACACUGAGCUAGCAACAGAUGAUUGCAUGCCUGGAUCAGCAGUUAAGUGGAUCAUGAUGAAAGGGGAUCUUCAGCACCCAUGCGUCCCAAAUUGCACCCUAUUCCCUAUUUAGUCCACUACUUUUGACCAUAGGGCUCUGGUCAAACGUUGUGCACCAUAUAGGGAAUAGGGUGCCAUUUGAGACUUAACCAGAGAGCUAGGGUUGAGGGGGGUUCCUGCAUAGUGAGAGUGCAGCUAUGUUUACUUCCAAGGCUCAGAUGGAAACAGUGGGGUUUAUGGAAACAUUUCAGCAAGGAUUUCAUCCAGCACCUAUGAUGAAAAUUCCUUGGUGUGCUUACUUUCCAUGAAAAGUAAACACAAGCUAAGAAAAGGAGAAUGGAAAAUAAAUGUCCUCGGCUAGCCCUACCAACACUGACUUAUUUCUUUCUCACUGUACACAAAGAACUGGAUAGCUGUACAGUAGAGGUAACCGUUACAGUUCUCUCUCUCAGCCAAGGAGUUUGUCAGCCAGGCACCCCUCAUCUGAAGAAUUUAAAGACCUCACCUGGAAAUUGUGACUAUGGUGGACUAGAAACAGAUUAUCUUCAACUAGAUCUUCCGUCUUGAAAGUGUAAAACGAUUAGCAAAUAAAACAUUUCAUUUCCACCAUUGUGUGACUAACGUUACUAUGACAGUAAAAUGUAGCUAAUGUACAGCAACUGAAAUGUGUUUAACGGGGGUUGUCUCUGCAGUCAGUAUAAAUGAGGUGUGAGUUUUUGUUAGCUGUCCACGUUAUAACUAACUUUCUGUUAACGUAAAUUGGCUGGCUAAAGGAUUCAGGAAACAGUUUGCAUAAAGUUCAACUAGCUAUGAAUUACGAAUUAAUAGCUAACAGUUGUGCGUAUCUUGGAUGUUAUGGAAGUUGCUAACGUUAGUUAGCUAGUUACAAUACCUAAACAACUAACUAUUUAGCGACAUAAAAUGACGAACUGAAAUACAGUGCCCUGUCAAUCACCACACCAAACACAUGAUUAGCUCCAGACUAUUUCCAAACACGUUAACGUUAGCUAGAUAGCUACUGUAGUUAGUUAUCCAAAGCAACAACUCCUUCCUCGCAAAAAAGAAAAAAGUCUAAA